UACGUAGGGUGCGAGCGUUUGUCCGGAAUUAUUGGGCGUAAAGAGCUCGUAGGCGGUCUGUCGCGUCUGCUGUGAAAUCCCGAGGCUCAACCUCGGGCUUGCAGUGGGUACGGGCAGGCUAGAGUGCGGUAGGGGAGAAUGGAACUCCUGGUGUAGCGGUGGAAUGCGCAGAUAUCAGGAAGAACACCGAUGGCGAAGGCAGUUCUCUGGGCCGUAACUGACGCUGAGGAGCGAAAAGCGUGGGGAGCGAACAGG
RNAcentral lists this ribosomal RNA (255 nucleotides) under uncultured bacterium. Its description in RNAcentral is "partial 16S ribosomal RNA". It matches the Rfam family "Bacterial small subunit ribosomal RNA", at positions 524 to 776 of the family's 1533-position model. The record is from RNAcentral.